This 464-nucleotide ribosomal RNA is filed under the name Vreelandella stevensii. Its description in RNAcentral is "partial 16S ribosomal RNA". It matches the Rfam family "Bacterial small subunit ribosomal RNA", at positions 338 to 795 of the family's 1533-position model. Lineage: Bacteria; Pseudomonadati; Pseudomonadota; Gammaproteobacteria; Oceanospirillales; Halomonadaceae. The record is from RNAcentral.
CCUAGGGUGGCUGCAGUGGGGAAUAUUGGACAAUGGGCGAAAGCCUGAUCCAGCCAUGCCGCGUGUGUGAAGAAGGCCUUCGGGUUGUAAAGCACUUUCAGUGGGGAAGAAAGCCUUGGGGCUAAUACCCUCGAGGAAGGACAUCACCCACAGAAGAAGCACCGGCUAACUCCGUGCCAGCAGCCGCGGUAAUACGGAGGGUGCGAGCGUUAAUCGGAAUUACUGGGCGUAAAGCGCGCGUAGGCGGUCUGAUAAGCCGGUUGUGAAAGCCCCGGGCUCAACCUGGGAACGGCAUCCGGAACUGUCAGGCUAGAGUGCAGGAGAGGAAGGUAGAAUUCCCGGUGUAGCGGUGAAAUGCGUAGAGAUCGGGAGGAAUACCAGUGGCGAAGGCGGUCUUCUGGACUGACACUGACGCUGAGGUGCGAAAGCGUGGGUAGCAAACAGGAUUAGAUACCCGUGUAGUC